AUUCCUUAUUUAGUGAACUAAUGUAUAGGGAAGUGCACUCCUUUUGCAGAGAAAAAUACCCCCAUAGGGCCCUGGUCAAAAGUAGUGCACUAUAUAGGGAAAUUGGUGUUAUGUUCUGGUACCAAGAAGUGGUGCAUCGUCAGACACUAGUUAUUAGCUAGUUACCUAACUAUUUAGCUACCUACCUAUUUAGCUACCUAACUAUUAGUGAAAACUAAUAAUACUGUAAAUUAACAAUACUGAUAAUUUAAAAUACUGUAGCUCAGAGAAGGAACUAAGAGAAAACUAAAAAGCAAUGACAGCAUUUUAGUUAGUGCUCUGGUCUCAGUCCUGCAUGUGAUUUGAAAAGCAGUAUUUCAGAGAUUAAUCUGGCUAUGUGCAACACAAUGUCCCCUGCAAAGAAAUUAUGAAAAUAUCUGUUGCAACGAGCUCCUCCUGGUUCAGAAUGCUGGAGAGAAUCCCAUCGAUACUAAGAUGAACUUAGUGAGCUACAGUCUGUCAGACGGACACACACAACCCCUACUCAAACCUCAAGAGGUACAACACACAACCCCUACUCAAACCUCAAGAGGUACACACACAACCCCUACUCAAACCUCAAGAGGUACACACACAACCCCUACUCAAACCUCAAGAGGUACACACACAACCCCUACUCAAACCUCAAGAGGUACACACACAACCCCUACUCAAACCUCAAGAGGUACACACACAACCCCUACUCAAACCUCAAGAGGUACACACACAACCCCUACUCAAACCUCAAGAGGUACACACACAACCCCUACUCAAACCUCAAGAGGUACACACACAACCCCUACUCAAACCUCAAGAGGUACACACACAACCCCUACUCAAACCUCAAGAGGUACACACACAACCCCUACUCAAACCUCAAGAGGAUAUAUAUAUACAGUGCCUUGCAAAAGUAUUCGGCCCCUUUGAACUUUGCAACCUUUUGCCACAUUUCCGGCUUCAAACAUAAAGA
Oncorhynchus keta (chum salmon) is the source of this 988-nucleotide long non-coding RNA. RefSeq lists it as uncharacterized. The record is from RefSeq and is a predicted model, not a curated record. The transcript is spliced from 3 exons. Lineage: Eukaryota; Metazoa; Chordata; Actinopteri; Salmoniformes; Salmonidae.